GCAGUAUAUAGGCGACGGCUUACGUUUUAUUUCUAUUUGAAAAUGAAGUUUACACGAUUUUUACUUUGCGUUUUCGCUUUCAUUUUAAAUAUUCUAAUUGCUUCAGCUCGGCUUCCUAAUCCAUUGGGCUUCAUUGCUGACGCAAAAGAUGGAUUGGAUGGAGGCGCAGAGGUGGCUGAGUCAGCAUUAGAUGCAUUCGGAAAUAUUGUGCCUUGAUAAAAGAUUAUUUGAUUUAAAAAUAUAUACCUACUGACUGGCCCAAUAAAAUCCUAUUACAUUUUA
Long non-coding RNA from Pieris rapae (cabbage white), 282 nucleotides. RefSeq lists it as uncharacterized. The transcript is spliced from 2 exons. NCBI's taxonomy places the organism in Eukaryota, Metazoa, Arthropoda, Insecta, Lepidoptera, Pieridae. The record is from RefSeq and is a predicted model, not a curated record.